UUUCAGCGGGGAGGAAGGCGUUAAGGUUAAUAACCUUGGCGAUUGACGUUACCCGCAGAAGAAGCACCGGCUAACUCCGUGCCAGCAGCCGCGGUAAUACGGAGGGUGCAAGCGUUAAUCGGAAUUACUGGGCGUAAAGCGCACGCAGGCGGUCUGUCAAGUCGGAUGUGAAAUCCCCGGGCUUAACCUGGGAACUGCAUUCGA
This 204-nucleotide ribosomal RNA is filed under the name Klebsiella pneumoniae. Its description in RNAcentral is "partial 16S ribosomal RNA". It matches the Rfam family "Bacterial small subunit ribosomal RNA", at positions 434 to 630 of the family's 1533-position model. Lineage: Bacteria; Pseudomonadati; Pseudomonadota; Gammaproteobacteria; Enterobacterales; Enterobacteriaceae. The record is from RNAcentral.